GAUUGAACGCUGGCGGCAUGCUUUACACAUGCAAGUCGAACGGUAACAGGCCGCAAGGUGCUGACGAGUGGCGAACGGGUGAGUAAUGCAUCGGAACGUGCCCAGUCGUGGGGGAUAACGCAGCGAAAGCUGUGCUAAUACCGCAUACGAUCUAUGGAUGAAAGCGGGGACCGAAAGGCCUCGCGCGAUUGGAGCGCCGAUGUCAGAUUAGCUAGUUGGUGGGGUAAAGCUCACCAAGGCGACGAUCCGUAACUGGUCUGAGAGGAUGAUCAGUCACACUGGAACUGAGACACGGUCAGACUCCUAGGGAGCAGCAGUGGGAAUAUUGGACAGU
This 334-nucleotide ribosomal RNA is filed under the name uncultured soil bacterium. RNAcentral's name for it is "bacterial SSU rRNA". It matches the Rfam family "Bacterial small subunit ribosomal RNA", at positions 27 to 372 of the family's 1533-position model. The record is from RNAcentral.